GAUGAACGCUGGCGGCAUGCUUAACACAUGCCAGUCGAACGGCAACGCCCUGCUCGGGUGGGGUGCUCGAGUGGCAAAGGGGUGAGUAACAUGUGAGCGUGCUGCCCUUGACGUUGGGAUAACUUCAGGACCGGGGGAAUAAUACCGACUACGAGUGCCUGCAACAGGGGGGCGGUUGGGAAGCUCCGGCGGUUAGGGGUGGACGCGGGGCUUACCAGCUUGUUGGUGGGGGAGUGGCUAACCGAGUCUUUGACGGGUAGCCGGCCUGGGCGGUUGACCGGCCACAUGGGGACUGAGGUACGGCGCAGACGCCUACGGGAGGCAGCGGUGGGGAAUAUUACACAGUGGGCGGAAGCCUGAUGCAACAACGCCGCGGUCGUGAUGACGUCCUUCGGGUUGUAAACCGCUUUCUGCUGUGACGACGCGAGGGUGACGGUAAUUGGAAAAGAAGCACCGGCUAACUACGUG
This 468-nucleotide ribosomal RNA is filed under the name uncultured bacterium. RNAcentral's name for it is "partial 16S ribosomal RNA". It matches the Rfam family "Bacterial small subunit ribosomal RNA", at positions 28 to 507 of the family's 1533-position model. The record is from RNAcentral.